Molecule: long non-coding RNA, 702 nt
Organism: Carcharodon carcharias (great white shark)
Lineage: Eukaryota; Metazoa; Chordata; Chondrichthyes; Lamniformes; Lamnidae
Exons: 3
Source: RefSeq, a predicted model, not a curated record
ACUGAAAGAACAUGAUGUCAUGUUGUCAACUGCAUGACAUCACUUCCCUUGAGGAGGCAGUACUGGUUGUAACUGAGAAGAGCAUGGCAAAUAUCAUGGCCACAGGCAGAGCAGAAGACAUCUCGCCUAGAGAAGAGAGCACAGAACACAGGGAGAGGCAAAGCAAUGGAAGUGUUCCUCCAGCAAUCUUGCAAAUACCAAGUAUAGAGGAGGAGACGAUGAUAUCAGAGGAAUCUUGGCAUGCCUGGCCCUCAGUGAUGAAGAGAUGGGAGCCUCCUGGUGACACAUGGCAUACACCACCAAAUCAUGUUGACUUGAUGUCAGCAGUCGGUGAAAUAUGAUCAGGCCAGGAUGAUGCAUUGAGCAGUAAUAGUAUGGACAUCAAAAAAUGAAGUUUGGUGGAUGGACAUAACACUUGAAAGGUGACUGAUAGGAAGACACCAUCAAAAGAUGAGUAAGCAAAUUGGAUAUUGUGAAGCCUGUUUGGCCUUUCAGAGCCUGUGAGAAGAAUUUGUAAGAACUGAGGCUUGUUUUUGGAAAGGAUUGUACCAGGCCUCAAAAUGCUAGAAUGGAACCAGGAAUUUGGCUUAAAGGGACACUGCUUCAAGGACGUUCUGCUGCAGCCAUAGUGGAAUAGUCAUGACUGAAGAUGGAAAAUAGGGCCAGGAAUGGAAUGACUGGCCAUGGUGCCCACCUGCAGGU